Molecule: ribosomal RNA, 2996 nt
Filed under: Lactobacillus delbrueckii subsp. bulgaricus
Lineage: Bacteria; Bacillati; Bacillota; Bacilli; Lactobacillales; Lactobacillaceae
Description: 23S ribosomal RNA
Rfam family: Bacterial large subunit ribosomal RNA
Source: RNAcentral
AGGUCAAGUGAAGAAGGGCGCACGGUGAAUGCCUUGGCACUGGAAGCCGAUGAAGGACGCGACUAACCGCGAAAGUCUUCGGGGAGCCGUAAGUAGGCUUUGAUCCGGAGGUCUCCGAAUGGGGGAACCCAGCAUGUGCAGACAUGCUAUCCUUAAGUGAAUACAUAGCUUAAGGAGGGAACACGCAGUGAACUGAAACAUCUAAGUAGCUGCAGGAAGAGAAAGAAAUAUCGAUUUCCCAAGUAGCGGCGAGCGAACAGGAAAGAGCCCAAACCGGCAGAUUUAUCUGCCGGGGUUGUAGGACUGAGACAUGGCACUUCAGAGGAUAGCAGAAGCGUUUGGGAAAGCGCGCCAGAGAGGGUGAGAGCCCCGUAAGCGAAAUCCAAAGAAGGCCUAUCAGUAUCCUGAGUAGGGCGGGACACGUGAAAUCCCGUUUGAAUCCGCGAGGACCAUCUCGCAAGGCUAAAUACUAACCAGUGACCGAUAGUGAACCAGUACCGUGAGGGAAAGGUGAAAAGAACCCCGGGAGGGGAGUGAAAGAGAACCUGAAACCGUGUGCCUACAAGUAGUCAGAGCCCGUUAACGGGUAAUGGCGUGCCUUUUGUAGAAUGAACCGGCGAGUUGCGUUAGUCAGCAAGGUUAAGUCAGAAAAGACGGAGCCGUAGCGAAAGCGAGUCUGAAGAGGGCGAGCAGUUGGCUGACGCAGACCCGAAACCAAGUGACCUACCCAUGACCAGGUUGAAGGCGCGGUAAAACGCGCUGGAGGACCGAACCCACGUAAGUUGAAAAUUGCGGGGAUGAGUUGUGGGUAGCGGUGAAAUUCCAAACGAACUUGGAGAUAGCUGGUUCUCUCCGAAAUAGCUUUAGGGCUAGCCUCGCAAAGAGGAUGCUGGAGGUAGAGCUCUGUUUGGACUAGGGGCCCGUCAAGGGUUACUGAAUUCAGAUAAACUGCGAAUUCCAGACAUUUAUGUGCGGGAGUCAGACUGCGAGUGAUAAGAUCCGUAGUCGAAAGGGAAACAGCCCAGAUCACCAGUUAAGGUCCCAAAAUUCAUGCUAAGUGGAAAAGGAUGUGGAGUUGCGCAGACAACUAGGACGUUGGCUCAGAAGCAGCCAUCAUUCAAAGAGUGCGUAAUAGCUCACUAGUCGAGUGACGCCGCGCCGAAAAUUUACCGGGGCUAAGCAUGAUACCGAAACUGUGGAUGUGCGUUUAUGCACGUGGUAGGAGAGCGUUCUAGCGGCGGUGAAGCAUGACCGAGAGGACAUGUGGAGCUUCUAGUAACUUGGAUGUGCAUUUAUGCACGUGGUAGGAGAGCGUUCUAGCGGCGGUGAAGCAUGACCGAGAGGACAUGUGGAGCUUCUAGAAGUGAGAAUGCCGGUAUGAGUAACGAAAGACAGGUGAGAAUCCUGUCCGCCGCAAGACUAAGGUUUCCUGGGGCAGGCUCGUCCGCCCAGGGUAAGUCGGGACCUAAGGCGAGGCCGAGAGGCGUAGUCGAUGGACAACAGGUUGAAAUUCCUGUACUGCACCGAAUCGUUAUGAGCGAUGGAGGGACGCAGGAGGCUAGCAGCGCGUGGUGCUGGAUACCACGUUCAAGCGUCAAGUCUGAGAGCGAGUCAAAUGCUUGCUCUCAUAAGGACAAGGCGUGAUGAGGAGCGAAAUUAAAGUAGCGAAGGCUGCGACGUCACACUGCCGAGAAAAGCUUCUAGCCAGAGACGGUGCACCCGUACCGCAAACCGACACAGGUAGUCGAGGAGAGUAUCCUCAGGUGAGCGAGAGAACUCUCGUUAAGGAACUCGGCAAAAUGGCCCCGUAACUUCGGGAGAAGGGGCGCUGGUCGCAAGAUCAGCCGCAGUGAAAAGGCCCAAGCAACUGUUUAUCAAAAACACAGGCAUCUGCAAAAUCGUAAGAUGAAGUAUAGGUGCUGACACCUGCCCGGUGCUGGAAGGUUAAGAGGAGAGCUUAGCGCAAGCGAAGGUUUGAAUUGAAGCCCCAGUAAACGGCGGCCGUAACUAUAACGGUCCUAAGGUAGCGAAAUUCCUUGUCGGGUAAGUUCCGACCUGCACGAAAGGUGUAAUGAUUUGGGCACUGUCUCAACGAGAGACUCGGUGAAAUUAUAAUACCCGUGAAGAUGCGGGUUACCCGCGACAGGACGGAAAGACCCCAUGGAGCUUUACUGCAGUUUAAUAUUGGGUAUCUGUCAAGCAUGUACAGGAUAGGUAGGAGCCGGAGAAGAUAGGACGCCAGUCUUAUCUGAGGCGCUGUUGGGAUACUACCCUUGCUUGACGGAUGCUCUAACUCAGGUCUGUGAUCCAGGCCGAGGACAGUGUUUGACGGGCAGUUUGACUGGGGCGGUCGCCUCCUAAAGUGUAACGGAGGCGCCCAAAGGUUCCCUCAGAAUGGUUGGAAAUCAUUCGCAGAGUGUAAAGGUAAAAGGGAGCUUGACUGCGAGAGAGACAACUCGAGCAGGUACGAAAGUAGGGCUUAGUGAUCUGGUGGUACCGUAUGGAAGGGCCAUCACUCAACGGAUAAAAGCUACCCUGGGGAUAACAGGCUUAUCUCCCCCAAGAGUUCACAUCGACGGGGAGGUUUGGCACCUCGAUGUCGGCUCGUCGCAUCCUGGGGCUGAAGUCGGUCCCAAGGGUUGGGCUGUUCGCCCAUUAAAGCGGCACGCGAGCUGGGUUCAGAACGUCGUGAGACAGUUCGGUCCCUAUCCGUCGUGGGCGUAGGAAAUUUGAGAGGAGCUGUCCUUAGUACGAGAGGACCGGGAUGGACGCACCGCUGGUGUACCAGUUGUCUUGCCAAAGGCAUCGCUGGGUAGCUAUGUGCGGACGGGAUAAGCGCUGAAAGCAUCUAAGUGCGAAGCCCCCCUCAAGAUGAGAUUUCCCAUUUCUUCAAGAAAGUAAGACACCUCAGAGACGAUGAGGUAGAUAGGCCGGGAGUGGAAGAGCCGUGAGGCUUGGAGCGGACCGGUACUAAUCAGUCGAGGACUUGACCAAAA